GACGAACGCUGGCGGCGUGCUUAACACAUGCAAGUCGAACGGUGAACUCCGCUUGCGGGGGGAUCAGUGGCGCACGGGUGAGUAACACGUGGGCAACCUUCCCUCAGCUCUGGGAUAACUCCAAGAAAUUGGGGCUAAUACCGGUUAUGACCGCUGACCGCAUGGUCUGGUGGUGGAAGGAUUUAUCGGCUGGGGAUGGGCCCGCGGCCUAUCAGCUUGUUGGUGGGGUAGUGGCCUACCAAGGCGACGACGGGUAGCCGGCCUGAGAGGGUGACCGGCCACACUGGGACUGAGACACGGCCCAGACUCCUACGGGAGGCAGCAGUGGGGAAUAUUGCGCAACGGGCGAAAGCCUGACGCAGCGACGCCGCGUGGGGGAUGACGGCCUUCGGGUUGUAAACCUCUUUCAGCAGGGACGAAGCGAAAGUGACGGUACCUGCAGAAGAAGCACCGGCCAACUACGUG
This 465-nucleotide ribosomal RNA is filed under the name uncultured bacterium. RNAcentral describes it as "partial 16S ribosomal RNA". It matches the Rfam family "Bacterial small subunit ribosomal RNA", at positions 28 to 507 of the family's 1533-position model. The record is from RNAcentral.